CCUACGGGAGGCAGCAGUGAGGAAUAUUGGUCAAUGGCCGGAAGGCUGAACCAGCCAAGCCGCGUGAAGGACGAAGGUGCCAAGCAUUGUAAACUUCUUUUGUCAAGGGACAAAAUCAGGCUCGAGAGCCUGACCGAGGGUACUUGAAGAAAAAGCAUCGGCUAACUCCGUGCCAGCAGCCGCGGUAAUACGGAGGAUGCGAGCGUUAUCCGGAUUUAUUGGGUUUAAAGGGUGCGUAGGCGGACUGUUAAGUCAGCGGUAAAAGCCCGGGGCUCAACCCCGGCGAGCCGUUGAAUCUGGCUGUCUAGAGAGAGCGAGAGGUAUGCGGAAUGCGCAGUGUAGCGGUGAAAUGCUUAGAUAUUGCGCAGAACUCCGAUGGCGAAGGCAGCAUACCGGCGGCGAUCUGACGCUGAGGCACGAAAGCGUGGGUAUCGAACAGGAUUAGAUACCCUAGUAGUC
RNAcentral lists this ribosomal RNA (459 nucleotides) under uncultured bacterium. RNAcentral describes it as "partial 16S ribosomal RNA". It matches the Rfam family "Bacterial small subunit ribosomal RNA", at positions 338 to 795 of the family's 1533-position model. The record is from RNAcentral.